UGGGGAAUAUUGCACAAUGGGCGCAAGCCUGAUGCAGCCAUGCCGCGUGUGUGAAGAAGGCCUUCGGGUUGUAAAGCACUUUCAGCGAGGAGGAAGGGUAGUGUGUUAAUAGCACAUUGCAUUGACGUUACUCGCAGAAGAAGCACCGGCUAACUCCGUGCCAGCAGCCGCGGUAAUACGGAGGGUGCAAGCGUUAAUCGGAAUUACUGGGCGUAAAGCGCACGCAGGCGGUUUGUUAAGUCAGAUGUGAAAUCCCCGCGCUUAACGUGGGAACUGCAUUUGAAACUGGCAAGCUAGAGUCAUGUAGAGGGGGGUAGAAUUCCAGGUGUAGCGGUGAAAUGCGUAGAGAUCUGGAGGAAUACCGGUGGCGAAGGCGGCCCCCUGGACAAAGACUGACGCUCAGGUGCGAAAGCGUGGGGAGCAAACA
RNAcentral lists this ribosomal RNA (427 nucleotides) under uncultured bacterium. Its description in RNAcentral is "partial 16S ribosomal RNA". It matches the Rfam family "Bacterial small subunit ribosomal RNA", at positions 355 to 774 of the family's 1533-position model. The record is from RNAcentral.